RNAcentral lists this ribosomal RNA (493 nucleotides) under uncultured bacterium. RNAcentral's name for it is "SSU rRNA". It matches the Rfam family "Bacterial small subunit ribosomal RNA", at positions 1 to 487 of the family's 1533-position model. The record is from RNAcentral.
GAAUUCGGCUUAGAGUUUGAUCCUGGCUCAGAAUGAACGCUGGCGGCGUGCCUUACACAUGCAAGUCGAGCGAGGCCAGGGGGCAACCCCUGAGUCGAGCGGCGAACGGGUGAGUAACGCGUGGAUAACCUGCCCAGAGGUGGGGGAUAACCCGGGGAAACUCGGGCUAAUACCGCAUGAUACCGAGAGGUCAAAGGGGGCUCGCAAGAGCUCUCGCCAUUGGAGGGGUCCGCGUCCGAUUAGCUAGUUGGUAGGGUAAUGCCCUACCAAGGCGACGAUCGGUAGCCGGCCUGAGAGGGUGAUCGGCCACACUGGAACUGAGACACGGUCCAGACUCCUACGGGAGGCAGCAGUGGGGAAUUUUGCGCAAUGGGCGAAAGCCUGACGCAGCAACGCCGCGUGGAGGAUGAAGGUCUUUGGAUUGUAAACUCCUGUCGGCCGGGAAAAAGCGACUCGACCUAACACGUCGGGGAGUUGAAAGUACCGGCAGAGG